GACAGAGGCCUCGAGCGUUAGGCGGAAUCACUGGGCUUAAAGCGUGUGUAGGCGGAUCGUUAAGUACCUUGUGAAAUCCCACGGCUCAACCGUGGAACGGCUGGGUAUACUGGCGGUCUUGGGCCAUCUAGGGGCGACCGGAACAAACGGUGGAGCGGUGAAAUGCGUAGAUAUCCGGAGGAACACCGGUGGCGAAGGCGGCUUCCUGGACCGACACUGACGCUGAGGCGCGAAAGCGUGGGGAGCAAACAGG
This 253-nucleotide ribosomal RNA is filed under the name uncultured bacterium. Its description in RNAcentral is "partial 16S ribosomal RNA". It matches the Rfam family "Bacterial small subunit ribosomal RNA", at positions 524 to 776 of the family's 1533-position model. The record is from RNAcentral.